Molecule: long non-coding RNA, 2734 nt
Organism: Portunus trituberculatus (swimming crab)
Lineage: Eukaryota; Metazoa; Arthropoda; Malacostraca; Decapoda; Portunidae
Exons: 5
Source: RefSeq, a predicted model, not a curated record
CUAGGGGUGGUGGUGGUGAUCAUUUCUUCCUUGUAUCUAGCACGUAUUCCUUUGGGUGGUAUUCCUUUGGGUGGUAUUAAGUCUCUUAAUCUUUGGAUCUAGCAUGUUUUCCUUUGGGUGGUAUUAAGUCUUAGUUCUUUGUAGGAUCUAGCAUGUCUUCCUUUCGGUGGUAUUAAUUCUAUAUUUCUUUGUAACGCAUGUCUUCCUUUGGGUGGUAUUAAAUCUUUUUCUUUUGUAUCUAGCAUGUAUUUCUUCGAGCAACUACAGAAACAGGCUGCCGUUCUUGUGCACUACAUCAACAGGCAUAUGAACGGGGGGACCGAGCAGCGUUGCGACAAAACGAAGCUGAGCGACAAGCAGAGGGAACCUCGGCGACGAGAGGUUAGAGCUUGCUGACCUGGAAGCUGAAACCGAACGAAUGCGACUUACCGCUCAAGUCAUAUGAACGGGAGGAGCUCGCGACAAGCACAGGGAAGAAGCUGAGCGACUUACCGCUCAAGGUAAGCCUGACGCUGUUACCAUCAGAGAUGUAGGUGUUCGUCCCACGUUACCAGGAAGACAUCGCUACAUACCUCACCCGUUUUGAGUGGCAGGGCUGUUAAAGCUCGAACCAAGUACGUAUGCUGUGAGGUUGGGAUGUCUCUUGACGGGCAAAGGUGAUCUAUAUAAGUCUCCCUCUCUUCUGAGACCACCAAUGAUUGACUUUCCCUAAAGCACUUCAUAAUACUCGACCAGUUCUCGGCUUCGCUGAAUCCUGACAUCCGCACCUUCAAAGAACACCGACCGUCGUCUCUUGCCCGAGUACUACAGCUAGCUGAUGACUGGGCAUCGGCACACUACACCAGCAAACCCUCCUUCAGGUCUUCCCCGCGAUCCUUCAAGCUUCCUCCCAAGAAAACGCUGCCUGUUCACUCGUCGCCUUCACCAACUUCUCCACUACCAGGGGUACUGGCUGUUCCUGCGUUGUGGUCGCAGUUCUACCUGAUGCUGCCAUUAGCAACUGCCGUUCCUGUUAAGUUGGUGACUACGUGGGCAGUGUCCAUACAUUUCCAUCGUCCAGUGUUACAUCAGUAUGUGCUGUGCAGACUCGUGCCUCGACCACUAGCAUGAAGUGCCUCCACCCACUUCAUCUUCCGGGUACAUCUUCCGGGUCUCCAGCCUGUCUGUCAACUGAGGUAUUUGAAUAUUGCACAUGAAAAUCCUUUAGCUGGUCACUACCCUCAUCGCUAGACAGAGCAGAAGGUUGCUGACCACUUCUUAUGGCCAGGAAUGGGUACUGACAUCAGAGCACACUGUCGUUCUUGCGACAAGUGCCAGUGCUUUUCUCAAGAGACGCAUAAAACCUGCCCCCUUGCAGUCUGCCCAUCGUUGCCAAACCCUUUGCGCAGGAUGGUGAGGUGAUGUCAGGGCAGGCACCCACACGGACUAGCUCAUCCACCUACUGACUACUACUGAUGCUGCUACUAUUGUAUCUUUCAGGAGGAACGAGAUACAAUCUGCUACCCCUGCCACCACUGCUGCUACCCCUGCCACCACCGCUCCUACCUUUUCGCAUAUCCUUGUUUGUGGGGAUGUGUAAAGGCCCUCGUUAAGUUUGGAUCUCCGCCACCGUGAGGCUUCGGUACCACGAGGCUUGGCCUUAGCUCCGCCUUUUCCGAGCCUACGAUGAGAGGCUACGAUAAGGCCCAGGCAGAAACCAGCGCCUCCGUCUCUUGGUGAACUUGUCUCUCCAAGCGGAAGAGCCUCGUCUCUCCAAGCUGGUUCCUCGUCUCAGCGGAAGAGCCUCGUCUCUCCUAGCUGGUUCCUCUGCUUUGCGAAAGAGCAGCCAGCCUAGGCUCCUGCUUCUUUCCAUAUCUACAUCUGCCACCGCUGUCGUCUCCCUACUGCAUACCAGCUUCUGGACUUCACCUGCUGGCUUCUUGCCGAGUGGAUUUUCACUGGUGCGCCUUACCCCAGUGACUCUACACGCCGUCCUUGCACACAUCAGUGGUCUUCACCUGCUGGCUUCUUGCCGAGUGGAUUUUCACUGGUGCGCCUUACCCCAGUGACUCUACACGCCGUCCUUGCACACAUCAGUGGUUCGGUUAUGUGUUAUUGUCUGUUAAUACUCAUUCUGUUUUGUCUUCUUUUCCUAUCCAAAGGGCUACACUAACUAAUCCUGGCAUAAAAUCAUUUACUUUUGAGGACGAGAGAUCGUGGCCUCCCUUUUCCCUCACACUUAUUUAAUAGUGGUCUAUGUGAAUGAGGAGUCUAUGGAGUUGUUUGUUGUUUGCAUCAUUCUCGCUUAUGGGAAGUAGUGGGAAGCAAAUUGUCAUGGUACGGUAAGUCCAGAGAUUUAUUACUCGGUCUGAUCCAGGAGAAAACUUCUCUAAUAGAUGCCAAACUUGUACAUAGAUGCCAAACUUGUACACUUGCAACUCAUCUCCACUCGUAAUGACUAUUCAAAUUAAACGAGUAUUAUGUCCUUUCGGGAGAUUAACGCAGUAUCUCUAUCUAUUUAUCUGUAUCUAUCCAACUUUUUACUGAUAUCUCAAUCUAUCUGUUAUCCAUCCAUCCAUGUACACUACCAAUCCACGUUGAUAUGUAUUCUAACUUGGUAUCUCCGUUUUGUCUGUCUACCUACCUGUUUACCGACGUCUCAAUCCAUCUAUCUGUGAUCCAUCCAUGUAUACUAUCCAUCCACGCUAUGUAUUCUUUCUCCAGUACAACGAAUAAACAUGUCAAACUCCCAAUA